Molecule: ribosomal RNA, 494 nt
Filed under: uncultured bacterium
Lineage: Bacteria
Description: bacterial SSU rRNA
Rfam family: Bacterial small subunit ribosomal RNA
Source: RNAcentral
CGAAGGCCCCUUCGGGGGCCGAGUAGAGUGGCGCACGGGUGAGUAACACGUAGGUAAUCUACCUCUGGGUGGGGAAUAACGACCGGAAACGGUCGCUAAUACCGCAUAAUGCAGCGGCACCACAUGGUGACAGUUGUUAAAGCGGGGGAUCGUAAGACCUCGCGCCUAGAGAUGAGCCUGCGGCGGAUUAGCUAGUUGGCAGGGUAACGGCCUACCAAGGCGACGAUCCGUAGCCGGCCUGAGAGGGCGGACGGCCACACUGGCACUGACAUACGGGCCAGACUCCUACGGGAGGCAGCAGUCGGGAAUUCUGGGCAAUGGGCGAAAGCCUGACCCAGCAACGCCGCGUGAAGGAUGAAGCUUUUCGGAGUGUAAACUUCAUAAGAAUGGGACGAAUAAGGAGGGGUUAACACCCCCUUUGAUGACGGUACCAUUUGUAAGCUCCGGCUAACUCCGUGCCAGCAGCCGCGGUAAUACGGGGGGAGCAAGCGUUG